AAACCAACAGGGAUUGCCUUAGUAGCGGCGAGUGAAGCGGCAAAAGCUCAAAUUUGAAAUCUGCCUUACGGCCGAGUUGUAAUUUGUAGAUGGUAACUCUGUGGCAAGCCUUUGCUCAAGUUUUCUGGAAAGAAACAUCAUGGAGGGUGACAAUCCCGUGAGGCAUUGGUGCAGCUGCGUGUAGAGUGCUAUCAAAGAGUCGAGUUGUUUGGGAAUGCAGCUCAAAGUGGGUGGUAGACACCAUCUAAAGCUAAAUAUUGGCGAGAGACCGAUAGCGAACAAGUACUGUGAAGGAAAGAUGAAAAGCACUUUGAAAAGAGAGUGAAAAAGUACGUGAAAUUAUUGAUACUGAAGGGUAUAAAAUUGGACUCAAGGUCUAGGUUCGGUAGCCUCUCGGGGUUGCUUUGUCCUAGGCCCUAAACCAGCAUCAGUUUUAGCAGGUGGAUAAACAACAUGGAAUGUAGCUGCUUGCAGUGUUAUAGACUUGUUGCAUACACCUUGCCGGGACUGAGGACUGCCUUUGUAGGAUGCUGGGGUAACGAUUUUAUACCA
Molecule: ribosomal RNA, 552 nt
Filed under: Wickerhamiella azyma
Lineage: Eukaryota; Fungi; Ascomycota; Dipodascomycetes; Dipodascales; Trichomonascaceae
Description: partial large subunit ribosomal RNA
Rfam family: Eukaryotic large subunit ribosomal RNA
Source: RNAcentral